AUAAAAUAUAGAUGACUUUAUAAACUGCUUAAAAUACUCUAUAAAGGCCAAGGCACACAACCAAGACAUUGACGACUUGAAAAAAAAUGAGAAAAAGGCAUUUUGUAAAUUGCCAACGAACAGAAUAGAGACCUGGUUAUGUCAUUUCUUCAGUUGGUGACAGCUGGAAUAAUGAGGUGUUAGCUUGUCUAUUUGGUAUGCAUUCUAACCUUUCCCUUGCUCUCCACAUUUCUCUCUCUCUACCCCGGGGCUGUUUUAGGAAAGUAGACACCAUUUCACUUAUACAGGGUCCAUUUCCCUAGAGCCAUUGCCCUCUUAUGACAACUGAAAUUGUUAUCGGGAGGAAUCUGGUGAAAUAUUGAGCCGUAGACGGUUUGCACAGUGCAGGAGAGAUGGAGAGCCAGGAACUGCAGUCUGGUCAUAUCGAUUUCAUCUAAGUCUUGCAGCUGGACCCCAGAUGUUGGACCACUGAGACACAGCUGCUGUAUUCUCUGCCUGAGAAAUUUUUUAAUGAUGAGCCCAGGGGCGGAUUCCCCAGAUGAUCUGCUGCUCACUACACUCAUGCUCAACACGAACCGAAGGUCACUUGAUAGAGAGACAAGAAAGAAGAGGAAUGAAGGAAAGUCUCUACAUCCAUAAGUCUGGCUAAAUCCUCUCCAUCUCUAUUUCAUUCGUAGUCUUGCAAAGCCAUGCUUUUUAAAGUCUGGUUCACAGACUGCAUCAUAUUCUAGACACUUAGAGAGGAAGAGACCUGUCUAGACAAAAUGUAAAGGGAUCAACCAUAGACUGUUUUAUUUUUAUAUACCAUUUAGGGAAAUAGGGAUUAUUUCUGUAAAUUUGUUCUAUAGUUUUAAUUUUUAUUUUCAUGAACUAUAAUAA
This is a long non-coding RNA of Cyprinus carpio carpio, 879 nucleotides long. Lineage: Eukaryota; Metazoa; Chordata; Actinopteri; Cypriniformes; Cyprinidae. The record is from Ensembl.